AUAAGCAAAUAUUCCAGAUUUGCGGGGCGUUUGCAAACAAAACCUGUUGCCAGACUCUCAGGUUUUGAGGUUUUCCCCCCCUAAAAAAGCUAUUUUUGGAGUAAAAAUGUUGCAGGCUGCUACAGGAAGGCAUUUUUUAUUCCCUUAAAGACGUAUCUGUAUCUAAGAGGAACAUUUCAGGGGAGUCCGUGCGAGAGCUUGGGCUGUCGCCCUUCCUUCCUGUCGGACACUGUCCCUGCGGCUAUGGUAUGGCCACGGAGUACGUUUUCAGUGAUUUACGCCCCUCUCCAGGCACCGUCCUCCCCCUCUUCGCCCCUUUCCUCCCCCUCUGACCUCUCUCCGGCUUUUUUUUCCCAGUUUAUCAAGGUUUUGUAGAUGUUUCCUGCUGCUCCUCGCAGCACGAGCAGCACUGCCUAUGGCAACGGACACCAGCACGGGAAGGAGGGAGCAGAGACGAAUCCUGCGGGGAGAAGCCGGGAACAAGAAGCCUGGCUUUGUGGAGGGCGCCGUCAGAAUGCCGGCGUACUGUUAGGAACACACCGUGCUCUGGGACGCGGUGGAGAAGCCCCGGCAACGCCUUCCAUAGGCGGCGGCGGCAGAGGCCCUGUCCAAACCCCGUGAGGUCUGUGAGCUCAAAACUGGAAAACCCCGUACCAGGAUGGAUAAGGAACGCCAAGCCCCGGUGUCGAGUUGUUCGAUUCUGCAGGAGGAAGGUGUAAGCAACCUUUUAAUUGCCGAUGACAACACGGUGGGCGCGGUGAAGAAAGGCAGCCUUAGUACCGCCACCGUAAAACCUGUUGAGACUCACGUUGAGGUAGUUGUGAUAUGUGAAACGGUUCGCUUCCUAAAGAAUUCAAUAGCAAGAAAAGUCGAGGCAGAAAGAUUUCGGAGCUUAUUGUGGUUUGAUUUAUCACUUCUGCUGGAGUUACUUGCCUGCCAAGAGCAAACAGCUUCCUUCUCGUUACUGUUUCUUAACCACGUCCUUCCUCUCAGUCCGCCCCAGGACCUCGGAGGACAUGGCCAGCAGCGAUGAGACCGUCAUCCAGAGGGGACGCCGCAGGGUGAAGUCCGCAAAUCCGGCUGCUUUACCCAGCGGGGAUUAAGGAAACCGUAACCGGCUUUGGUGCUCCUGGCAGAAGAACACCUGCGCAGCCCGAGUAGCUCCUCAGCGAGUCUCAGCGUUUCCAUCCGACAUGAAAAAAAAAAAAACCCACCGCAAGGACUUCACUUAUCUUAUUCUGCUAAAAACCCCAGGAAAGUUUCGCACCAGUUAACUCCUAAAAUCCCGGUCCUCGCUGUCUGGGCCAGGCACCUGGAAGUCAAGCGUACCCGGCGCUCCAGACCUGAGCAAUAUAACCGCCAGAGUUAUUACAUCAUUACC
This is a long non-coding RNA of Grus americana (Whooping crane), 1381 nucleotides long. RefSeq lists it as uncharacterized. The record is from RefSeq and is a predicted model, not a curated record. Lineage: Eukaryota; Metazoa; Chordata; Aves; Gruiformes; Gruidae. The transcript has 5 exons.